AACGAACGCUGGCGGCAGGCCUAACACAUGCAAGUCGAGCGCGCCCUUCGGGGUGAGCGGCGGACGGGUGAGUAACGCGUGGGAACGUGCCCUUUUCUACGGAAUAGCCUCGGGAAACUGAGAGUAAUACCGUAUACGCCCUUUGGGGGAAAGAUUUAUCGGAAAAGGAUCGGCCCGCGUUGGAUUAGGUAGUUGGUGGGGUAAUGGCCUACCAAGCCGACGAUCCAUAGCUGGUUUGAGAGGAUGAUCAGCCACACUGGGACUGGGACACGGCCCAGACUCCUACGGGAGGCAGCAGUGGGGAAUCUUAGACAAUGGGGGCAACCCUGAUCUAGCCAUGCCGCGUGAGUGAUGAAGGCCUUAGGGUUGUAAAGCUCUUUCAGCUGGGAAGAUAAUGACGGUACCAGCAGAAGAAGCCCCGGCUAACUCCGUG
RNAcentral lists this ribosomal RNA (433 nucleotides) under uncultured bacterium. Its description in RNAcentral is "partial 16S ribosomal RNA". It matches the Rfam family "Bacterial small subunit ribosomal RNA", at positions 29 to 507 of the family's 1533-position model. The record is from RNAcentral.